AUGACCUUCAUCAUCAUCUUCAUCUGGACUCUCACAGCGUUUGCUCAAGAGUGUAGAGGACAGAUCACCGUCACUCAGAGUCCCUCAAUGACAGCAGCUCAACCAGGACAAACUGUGAACAUCAACUGUAAAACCAGCAGUGAUGUGUUUUAUUAUAGUUCUGAUGGACAUUAUUUAGCCUGGUACUUACAGAAACCUGGAGAAGCUCCUAAACUCCUGAUUUAUUUAGCAAACACCCUCCAGUCAGGAACUCCAUCUAGAUUCAGUGGCAGUGGAUCUAACAGUGAUUUCACUCUGACCAUCAGUGGAGUCCAGACUGAAGAUGCUGGACAUUAUUACUGUCAGAGUUUCCACUAUCCAAACAGUCAAUAUGUGUUCACACAGUGAUAAAGAGUCGUACAAAAACCUCCGUCAGUCAGAGUCACAGUGACUGAACUGAUACUGCAGCUGCUCAAAGGAGGAUCUGAAACAACAU
Molecule: non-coding RNA, 475 nt
Organism: Megalobrama amblycephala (Wuchang bream)
Lineage: Eukaryota; Metazoa; Chordata; Actinopteri; Cypriniformes; Xenocyprididae
Source: the annotation of a RefSeq genome assembly